RNAcentral lists this unclassified non-coding RNA (17 nucleotides) under Mus musculus (house mouse). Its description in RNAcentral is "oocyte_clustered_small_RNA8666". The record is from RNAcentral. Lineage: Eukaryota; Metazoa; Chordata; Mammalia; Rodentia; Muridae.
CAUCCACGCACAGUAGG